GGACCAUGAUGAGGACAAUACCGAAGUAAUUUUUUAUAUCUUUCCCAGGCCUCGUAUAAGAUUCAAAACCUUGCUGCAUGAAUGAUGUUAUAUCAUUCCUCAUUUU
Molecule: small nucleolar RNA, 106 nt
Filed under: Theobroma cacao (cacao)
Lineage: Eukaryota; Viridiplantae; Streptophyta; Magnoliopsida; Malvales; Malvaceae
Description: Plant small nucleolar RNA R71
Rfam family: Plant small nucleolar RNA R71
About the family: R71 is a member of the C/D box family of snoRNAs containing the C (UGAUGA) and D (CUGA) box motifs. Multiple nearly identical copies of this snoRNA have been identified in Arabidopsis, and it is thought to function as a 2'-O-ribose methylation guide for 18S ribosomal RNA.
Source: Rfam by way of RNAcentral